RNAcentral lists this long non-coding RNA (362 nucleotides) under Homo sapiens (human). Its description in RNAcentral is "non-protein coding lnc-NMBR-1:2". Lineage: Eukaryota; Metazoa; Chordata; Mammalia; Primates; Hominidae. The record is from RNAcentral.
CACGAGAUGACUCUCACUUCAUGCUAGCUCUGUGCCUGGAGAAAAUUUUCUGAGCACAAAGAGGUAGAAUGCAACCAGAAAGAAAACUGUGGCCCUACUGAACUGAGGAAGAAGAGGUCAGAGUUCUGGAAUCAGAAAGAGCAAGUAGGAAGGGUGCUGCACCUAAGGACUCUAGAUCCUUGGUUUGGGACUGGGCCUCACACAUGUAAUGUGAGGCUCUUGAGACUGAGGAGGACUGCUGUUCGGUCAGGAUCAGAAGGAAUAUGCUAGAGUUCAAGCCACCAUGCAAGAUCCGUGAGCAACUCCUUAGGUGAAUUGUGAAAGACAGCCAGGGCCUAUAUUUGGAGUGCAAGGGUUCUGGA